Molecule: ribosomal RNA, 253 nt
Filed under: uncultured bacterium
Lineage: Bacteria
Description: partial 16S ribosomal RNA
Rfam family: Bacterial small subunit ribosomal RNA
Source: RNAcentral
UACAGAGGGGGCAAGCGUUGUUCGGAAUUACUGGGCGUAAAGGGUGCGUAGGCGGCCCGCUAAGUCGAACGUGAAAUCCCCGAGCUCAACUCGGGAACUGCGUCCGAUACUGGUGGGCUUGAAUCCGGGAGAGGGAUGCGGAAUUCCAGGUGUAGCGGUGAAAUGCGUAGAUAUCUGGAGGAACACCGGUGGCGAAGGCGGCAUCCUGGACCGGCAUUGACGCUGAGGCGCGAAAGCUAGGGGAGCAAGCGGG